GCCUUUAUAGCUCAGUGGUAGAGCGCAGCACUCGUAUCCUUCAUAUGAGUUCAUGCUGAGGUCCAUCGUUCAAUCCGGUGUGGAGGCA
RNAcentral lists this transfer RNA (88 nucleotides) under Annulohypoxylon bovei var. microspora. RNAcentral describes it as "tRNA-Thr". It matches the Rfam family "tRNA". Rfam says of the family: Transfer RNA (tRNA) molecules are approximately 80 nucleotides in length. Their secondary structure includes four short double-helical elements and three loops (D, anti-codon, and T loops). The record is from RNAcentral. Lineage: Eukaryota; Fungi; Ascomycota; Sordariomycetes; Xylariales; Hypoxylaceae.